RNAcentral lists this ribosomal RNA (300 nucleotides) under uncultured Actinomycetales bacterium. RNAcentral's name for it is "bacterial SSU rRNA". It matches the Rfam family "Bacterial small subunit ribosomal RNA", at positions 115 to 416 of the family's 1533-position model. Lineage: Bacteria; Bacillati; Actinomycetota; Actinomycetes; Actinomycetales. The record is from RNAcentral.
ACGUGGGUGAUCUGCCCUGCACUUCGGGAUAAGCCUGGGAAACUGGGUCUAAUACCGGAUAUGACCUCCUAUCGCAUGGUGGGUGGUGGAAAGAUUUAUCGGUGCAGGAUGGGCCCGCGGCCUAUCAGCUUGUUGGUGGGGUAAUGGCCUACCAAGGCGACGACGGGUAGCCGACCUGAGAGGGUGACCGGCCACACUGGGACUGAGACACGGCCCAGACUCCUACGGGAGGCAGCAGUGGGGAAUAUUGCACAAUGGGCGAAAGCCUGAUGCAGCGACGCCGCGUGAGGGAUGACGGCC